UUUCGGGGGAGGAAGCUGUGCAGUCACAGCUGCGCUCCAGCUGUAGAAAAUAUGAUACCUAUGGGCAGAUAUCAAAGUCCGUGCUGCAAAGGGGCCAUGAACGGGACGGUUUGCAGGUGCAGGUUAAAAAUUAAAUAGCUGAAG
This is a non-coding RNA of Chelonoidis abingdonii (Abingdon island giant tortoise), 144 nucleotides long. Lineage: Eukaryota; Metazoa; Chordata; Testudines; Testudinidae. The record is from RefSeq and is a predicted model, not a curated record.